AAGUGCUGGGGUUACAGCUGUGAGCCACUGUGCCUGGCCCAUAGAAGAUUUCAACAGACGUAAUUCCACCAGAGCAGCAAAUUCCACUGAAACAACCCAAGAGUUACAAGGAAGGGGAAAAGCCUGUGGCAGCAUUGGAAAACAGAGAACAAUAUCAUCAAGUGACCGAUAGCACAGACGGAUUUCUGAACGAAAUGAAGAUGAUGGAAUCAGAUCAACAGGGAAGCAGAUGGUGCCCAACAGCCUAGUGAUGUAACACUGGCAAGAUUCCCAAAAGUGCCCCAAAGAUGCCCAAGUAGAGGUUAAGGGAGAAGCAAGGCACCGGGUACUACUGUUUGCAGCAAACACGGAUGCUGGCCUGCCCAGGGGCCCCUCUCUCCUUUUGGAUUUUAUUCAGGAAUCAUCGUUGGUCUCAGGUGAUCAUGACACAGCUAUUCUCCUUUGCCAGUGACUGACAUGAGAUUCAGAUCUCACUAAUAAGAUGUAAGAGGAUGUCUCCUGGGAGCUUUUGGAAACUGUUUCAUCCCUGAAAAGGGAAGGCACAUGAAGAAAAAUCCAACAUCCUUUUGCUACUGACUUCUUGCUUCCUGUUUUGUAUCCUGCCAUGUGAAAAUACAGCAUUUGGAGAUGUGGCAACUUUGUGCUGGCCAUGAAGGAAUGCGUCCCCCACACGGCAGAGUACAAGGACCAAAGAAGCCAGGCCAUCGCCCCAGGCCGGCCUCCCUCACUGGAUAAACAGCAUAUGCCCUUAUGCUGCAUGAGCUGGAUUUUCCCUUUCUUGUGGCUGAAAUGCAUUUGGAUACAGUUUGUUUAUACUCAUAGAGUCACUGUAAGUCAGGGGCUUAUUGUCAGGAACUACUUAACACUUUGCUUAGGAUAUUGGAUUUAAAGAAAGGAAUUUUGGGGAAUCCAUGCUAUAGAAAUAAAAGUAUCAGUAAGUAAGAGGGGGAAACAUACAAAUUUAAAAUGUGCACAUAAGAAACUUAAUAGUAACUCCUCCCUGCUGGGGGCAUGGGAAGGGAGAAAUGAAGGAACAAUUAUUUUUCAUUUGGUACCAUUCUCUGUAUGGCUUGGAUUUUCUUGCUAUUAUUUUUAUUUGUUAAAAUCUGGGCAGUGCAAUAAUGGGGCACUUCUAUUUCUUCCGUUUUCUGUAUUUUCCAUUUCCCUCUAUUUUCUGUAUUAGAAAUACACUACUUAGCCGGACAUGGUGGCUCAUGCCUGUAAUCCCAGCACUUUGGGAGGUCAAGGCGGGCAGAUCACCUGAGGUCAGA
RNAcentral lists this long non-coding RNA (1271 nucleotides) under Homo sapiens (human). Its description in RNAcentral is "HSALNT0388111". The record is from RNAcentral. Lineage: Eukaryota; Metazoa; Chordata; Mammalia; Primates; Hominidae.